This 948-nucleotide ribosomal RNA is filed under the name Bacillus sp. AS14-MN-2016. RNAcentral describes it as "bacterial SSU rRNA". It matches the Rfam family "Bacterial small subunit ribosomal RNA", at positions 36 to 975 of the family's 1533-position model. The record is from RNAcentral. Lineage: Bacteria; Bacillati; Bacillota; Bacilli; Caryophanales; Bacillaceae.
CCAUGGCGCAUGCUAUACAUGCAGUCGAGCGGACAGAUGGGAGCUUGCUCCCUGAUGUCAGCGGCGGACGGGUGAGUAACACGUGGGUAACCUGCCUGUAAGACUGGGAUAACUCCGGGAAACCGGGGCUAAUACCGGAUGCUUGAUUGAACCGCAUGGUUCAAUUAUAAAAGGUGGCUUUUAGCUACCACUUACAGAUGGACCCGCGGCGCAUUAGCUAGUUGGUGAGGUAACGGCUCACCAAGGCAACGAUGCGUAGCCGACCUGAGAGGGUGAUCGGCCACACUGGGACUGAGACACGGCCCAGACUCCUACGGGAGGCAGCAGUAGGGAAUCUUCCGCAAUGGACGAAAGUCUGACGGAGCAACGCCGCGUGAGUGAUGAAGGUUUUCGGAUCGUAAAACUCUGUUGUUAGGGAAGAACAAGUACCGUUCGAAUAGGGCGGUACCUUGACGGUACCUAACCAGAAAGCCACGGCUAACUACGUGCCAGCAGCCGCGGUAAUACGUAGGUGGCAAGCGUUGUCCGGAAUUAUUGGGCGUAAAGCGCGCGCAGGCGGUUUCUUAAGUCUGAUGUGAAAGCCCCCGGCUCAACCGGGGAGGGUCAUUGGAAACUGGGGAACUUGAGUGCAGAAGAGGAGAGUGGAAUUCCACGUGUAGCGGUGAAAUGCGUAGAGAUGUGGAGGAACACCAGUGGCGAAGGCGACUCUCUGGUCUGUAACUGACGCUGAGGCGCGAAAGCGUGGGGAGCGAACAGGAUUAGAUACCCUGGUAGUCCACGCCGUAAACGAUGAGUGCUAAGUGUUAAAGGGUUUCCGCCCUUUAGUGCUGCAGCAAACGCAUUAAACACUCCGCCUGGGGAGUACGGUCGCGAGACUGAAACUCAAAGGAAUUGAAUGGUGGCCCGCGCCAGCGUUGGCACCUUGUGGUUUAGAUUCUAAUCCUCGCC